UGUGAGCUCGAUGAGUAGGGCGGGACACGUGGUAUCCUGUCUGAAUAUGGGGGGACCAUCCUCCAAGGCUAAAUACUCCUGACUGACCGAUAGUGAACCAGUACCGUGAGGGAAAGGCGAAAAGAACCCCGGCGAGGGGAGUGAAAAAGAACCUGAAACCGUGUACGUACAAGCAGUGGGAGCACGCUUAGGCGUGUGACUGCGUACCUUUUGUAUAAUGGGUCAGCGACUUAUAUUCUGUAGCAAGGUUAACCGAAUAGGGGAGCCGAAGGGAAACCGAGUCUUAACUGGGCGUUAAGUUGCAGGGUAUAGACCCGAAACCCGGUGAUCUAGCCAUGGGCAGGUUGAAGGUUGGGUAACACUAACUGGAGGACCGAACCGACUAAUGUUGAAAAAUUAGCGGAUGACUUGUGGCUGGGGGUGAAAGGCCAAUCAAACCGGGAGAUAGCUGGUUCUCCCCGAAAGCUAUUUAGGUAGCGCCUCGUGAAUUCAUCUCCGGGGGUAGAGCACUGUUUCGGCAAGGGGGUCAUCCCGACUUACCAACCCGAUGCAAACUGCGAAUACCGGAGAAUGUUAUCACGGGAGACACACGGCGGGUGCUAACGUCCGUCGUGAAGAGGGAAACAACCCAGACCGCCAGCUAAGGUCCCAAAGUCAUGGUUAAGUGGGAAACGAUGUGGGAAGGCCCAGACAGCCAGGAUGUUGGCUUAGAAGCAGCCAUCAUUUAAAGAAAGCGUAAUAGCUCACUGGUCGAGUCGGCCUGCGCGGAAGAUGUAACGGGGCUAAACCAUGCACCGAAGCUGCGGCAGCGACGCUUAUGCGUUGUUGGGUAGGGGAGCGUUCUGUAAGCCUG
This 853-nucleotide ribosomal RNA is filed under the name Escherichia coli. Its description in RNAcentral is "partial 23S ribosomal RNA". It matches the Rfam family "Bacterial large subunit ribosomal RNA", at positions 398 to 1251 of the family's 2925-position model. Lineage: Bacteria; Pseudomonadati; Pseudomonadota; Gammaproteobacteria; Enterobacterales; Enterobacteriaceae. The record is from RNAcentral.